This 74-nucleotide transfer RNA is filed under the name Pediococcus pentosaceus. Its description in RNAcentral is "tRNA-Gly". It matches the Rfam family "tRNA". From Rfam's summary of the family: Transfer RNA (tRNA) molecules are approximately 80 nucleotides in length. Their secondary structure includes four short double-helical elements and three loops (D, anti-codon, and T loops). The record is from RNAcentral. Lineage: Bacteria; Bacillati; Bacillota; Bacilli; Lactobacillales; Lactobacillaceae. RNAcentral also lists the same sequence under 3 other names.
GCGAAUGUAGUUUAGUGGUAAAAUUCAAGCUUCCCAAGCUUGUGUCGCGGGUUCGAUUCCCGUCAUUCGCUUCA